UACGGAGGGAGCGAGCGUUGUUCGGAAUCACUGGGCGUAAAGGGCGCGUAGGCGGUCGGGUAAGUCGGGUGUGAAAUUCCGGGGCUCAACCCCGCGAACUGCAUCCGAUACUGCUCGACUAGAGAGAGGUAGGGGCGAGUAGAAUUCCCGGUGUAGCGGUGGAAUGCGUAGAUAUCGGGAAGAACACCGGUGGCGAAGGCGGCUCGCUGGGCCUUAUCCGACGCUGAAGCGCGAAAGCGUGAGGAGCAAACAGG
RNAcentral lists this unclassified non-coding RNA (254 nucleotides) under uncultured Gemmatimonadota bacterium. Its description in RNAcentral is "uncultured Gemmatimonadetes bacterium contains 16S-23S intergenic spacer region". It matches the Rfam family "Bacterial small subunit ribosomal RNA", at positions 524 to 776 of the family's 1533-position model. The record is from RNAcentral. Lineage: Bacteria; Pseudomonadati; Gemmatimonadota.